GCUCUCAUAGUUAAAUGGAUAGAAUAACCCCCUCCUAAGGGGUAGAUGUAGGUUCGAUUCCUACUGGGAGUACCA
Molecule: transfer RNA, 75 nt
Filed under: Inconstantimicrobium porci
Lineage: Bacteria; Bacillati; Bacillota; Clostridia; Eubacteriales; Clostridiaceae
Description: tRNA-Arg
Rfam family: tRNA
About the family: Transfer RNA (tRNA) molecules are approximately 80 nucleotides in length. Their secondary structure includes four short double-helical elements and three loops (D, anti-codon, and T loops).
Source: RNAcentral